UACGUAGGGUGCAGGCGUUAAUCGGAAUUACUGGGCGUAAAGCGUGCGCAGGCGGUUUGCUAAGACAGGUGUGAAAUCCCCGGGCUUAACCUGGGAACUGCGCUUGUAACUGGCAAGCUAGAGUGUGGCAGAGGGGGGUGGAAUUCCACGUGUAGCAGUGAAAUGCGUAGAGAUGUGGAGGAACACCGAUGGCGAAGGCAGCCCCCUGGGCCAAUACUGACGCUCAUGCACGAAAGCGUGGGGAGCAAACAGG
This 253-nucleotide ribosomal RNA is filed under the name uncultured bacterium. RNAcentral's name for it is "partial 16S ribosomal RNA". It matches the Rfam family "Bacterial small subunit ribosomal RNA", at positions 524 to 776 of the family's 1533-position model. The record is from RNAcentral.